CCUACGGGUGGCAGCAGUGAGGAAUAUUGGUCAAUGGCCGAGAGGCUGAACCAGCCAAGUCGCGUGAGGGAAAACGGCCCUACGGGUUGUAAACCUCUUUUGCCGGGGAGCAAAGCGCACCACGUGUGGUUCAUUGAGAGUACCCGAAGAAAAAGCAUCGGCUAACUCCGUGCCAGCAGCCGCGGUAAUCCGGAGGAUGUGAGCGUUAUCCGGAUUUAUUGGGUUUAAAGGGUGCGCAGGCGGAGGUGCAAGUCAGCGGUCAAAUUGCGGGGCUCAACCCCGUACUGCCGUUGAAACUGCAUCCCGUGAGUGCGGGAGAGGUGUGCGGAAUGCGUGGUGUAGCGGUGAAAUGCAUAGAUAUCACGCAGAACUCCGAUUGCGAAGGCAGCAUACCGGAGCGCAACUGACGCUCAUGCACGAAAGCGUGGGUAUCGAACAGGAUUAGAUACCCUUAUAGUC
This 459-nucleotide ribosomal RNA is filed under the name uncultured bacterium. Its description in RNAcentral is "partial 16S ribosomal RNA". It matches the Rfam family "Bacterial small subunit ribosomal RNA", at positions 338 to 795 of the family's 1533-position model. The record is from RNAcentral.